AAUAGACUGCUCCCACAAAUCACAAUAAAAAUGGACGCAAUAGCUAAAGCUGAUCAGCAUUCAUCAGUUUCCACGGAUUUUGCUUCUCAAUUUCAAAAUAUGUGGACAUAGUUGAGAGCUUAAAGUUGUUGACAGAUGAACUAUGCAAGAGCUUGGAACAACAUGAUUCGCAUAAAAUGAAUUAUCAAGAUUUCUCCAAGGAUGAUCUCAAGGAAGGGAGUGAAGAGGUUGCUAAAUACAAGGAUUGCUCCAUAUGUCAGAGUUAUUUUCUUUAUCCUUUUCAUCAGGUAGUAAGUGACAAUAAUUUUCCAUUUUCAUUUAAACUCAUUUAUGUUUUCAUAAAGAUCUUGUCUCUCUAUUUUGUGCUGACAUAUCUACUUUGCAUAUUUCCAACAAUCCUGUUUUUCACGAAAGAAUUGAACAUAUAAAAAUAGAUUGUCAUUUUGUAAGAGAAAAUAUCAUCAUUGGAAUUAUCUGUUAAAGAUUGAUUCAAAUAAUAAUCUGUUCAGUUUAGAUAUUUGCUAUUAGUUCUACUAUUUUAUCUGAUAGUUUGUUAAGGUCAAGUCAUGUUACUGUUAGUGCCAUAUUUAUCUACUAUUAUUGUUUAGAGUAUGGCUAUAAAUAAGCCUUCAACUCUCUGUGUUUAAUCAUCCAAAAGUGUGGUUUUCUUCAUUUUCUUUCUAUCA
Jatropha curcas is the source of this 686-nucleotide non-coding RNA. NCBI's taxonomy places the organism in Eukaryota, Viridiplantae, Streptophyta, Magnoliopsida, Malpighiales, Euphorbiaceae. The record is from RefSeq and is a predicted model, not a curated record.